Molecule: long non-coding RNA, 905 nt
Organism: Corticium candelabrum
Lineage: Eukaryota; Metazoa; Porifera; Homoscleromorpha; Homosclerophorida; Plakinidae
Exons: 4
Source: RefSeq, a predicted model, not a curated record
CCGAUUCUUCUCGAUAUAACACAUCUCCUGGUAUUCCCAUUAGUCAAAGUACAUACACGUUGAUGAAUCUCAGUCCAUACACAACACACUUUAUAUACAUGUCAGUUACAAACAAUGCCAACUCAGAAAGUAUGCGCAGCAAUACCGUUCAAGUGCGAACUCUUCGAUCUUCCAUACUUAAACCAGAUGCAACACCUUUAGCUGGUGGCACAACACUGUCAAAGACAACUAUAACAACACUGUCAAAGACAACUAUAGCAACACCCUCAAGGACAACAUUGAUAACAUUGGUACCUUCAGUGUUGACGACUGUGUCUGCAGAGUAAGUCAUCAUCCAAUUCCGUGAUCACAGCAGUUGCUGUUACACUAGGCUUAAGUGUCAUCAUUCUUAUUCUAAUCGUAUUUUUUGUAGUUUUGAGGAAAAAUGAUUGGUGCACUAAAUCUCCACCUAGAGAUGAUAGCAGGAAUAUCAAUUCUACAGACACAUCUGAAACAGGUGGAAGUUUGAAUUUAAACAACACGACAAGGAAUUUCUCAUGUCCUAAUGCAGGUGCAGGAAACCAUGAUAAACAAAAUGACUAUGAAGUCAUGAAGUGACUAUGUGAAAACCGUUUUGGUCUCACCAACGUAGUACAAGAAACGACUUUCUGGCAAUGAUUUGUGACUUCUUUUAAGGCCUAAAAUACAUUUGUUAGUGCUUGUGGUUUGAUCGACUCUGUUUGUCAUGGUGACUAUUGUUGCCUUGUUUGUAGCUAGUUUGUAUGAAGGCCUAUGGUUAGCUAAAAGUGAACCUUGUAUUGUGUGGGACUAUUCUGCUUGUGAAAGAUAAAACUAGAUAGGUGGGAAACAAACAAGAUUUUACAAGAUUGUGAAUUCAAGCUUACUUAAAAUUUCAAAAAAAAUUA